Non-coding RNA from Paramormyrops kingsleyae, 1371 nucleotides. The record is from RefSeq and is a predicted model, not a curated record. Lineage: Eukaryota; Metazoa; Chordata; Actinopteri; Osteoglossiformes; Mormyridae.
UAAAAAAGUCGGGAAGUGGGAAGUCACGGGAGGAGCUGGCUUUGGAGAAGAAGAAGGAGCUGGAGAGAAGACUGCAAGAUGUCAGCGGGCAGCUCAACUCCUCCAAGAAGCCCCAGAAGACCAAGGCAGAGAAGCCCAGCGCAGUGGAGCCCCACGCCAUGGUGUCACGUCUCAGUGCCAGCAGUUCAAGCUCGGACUCUUCAUCAUAGUCAUCCUCCUCAUCCUCAUCUGACACGAGUGACUCUGACUCUGGCUGAAUUGUGGAAAUGAGCGGGGCUGUGGCAGUAGAGGCUGGGCCUUGCAGGGUUUGGUCGUCCAGAAGCUCAUUGGCCCAGACUGUGAUGGGAGCCAGUGGCUGGUGGCCCAGGGUGGAGGGGGAGGGAACAGCACUCCUUCCCGACGGCAGUGACCUAAACCGAAAGAGGGGCGACUGAGACUGACUAUUAGAGUGCAGGAAUUCGCAGGACCAAGGAGGCUGUAACAAAGUCUGGCUGAAGAAAUUCGCAUUCCAUUUUUUUCCCAUGCUGUGUAAAUAUAUGUACAAAUAUGUGUAUAUAUUACAAUCUUUCUUUUAUAAAGAAGAAUUUUAAGAAAAUCCCCAAGGAGGGAGAGUAAUGAAUGAAAGGAUGUUGAUGGACUGUUUCUUUGCAAGAUUUUUGUACGUAAAGUUUGGAUUUUUGUUUAUUUUGUUUUCCCCUCCCCUGCAGAUGGAGGUUAGUCCUUAGAUAGACCGAUAUCUCUAUGGUGUCAGACACACAGAUGCAGCCUCACCUGAUCAGCUUCCCACUGCCUUGGGCUCUGGCUGGAGAAGAAGUGCAAGUCGGAAAGUUAAAUCCCUUGUUUCUCCUUAUCAGCAUGAUCUUAGGGGUUUAAACCGCUAUAGGGAUUUUGUCUACAGCAUGUGUUUGGUACUGUACUGUGUCCAAGUCUCACUGAGAAGCUAGUAAAAUGCAAACGGGUCCAACUGAACGGUAACGGAACCUGGUGCUUUCAUCUUCCCGCCUGUCUGUCUGACAUUAGCAGAGACCUGCUGUUCCUCUGUUGUUGCAGUGCUGAGGCUCAGACUGGGGGGGGGGUGUCAAUGAGACCAGGACUCCUGCUGGAAGCCAGUGGAACGCAGAACCUGAUUACAUCAAACACACUGUACACAUUUCUGCAGCUGUAUCUGUUCUCAGCAUGGUUCUACACGCAAGAUUUCUCCCCUUUUUCAUUUACCCUCACAGCACCGUGUGAGAACUUCAUUCUUUUUUUAUAGAAUGACAGUUUGAGGCGACAUCACAUGUAACACUGUCAGACAUCUGGUUCGACAUGAUCAGUCUCAAACAUACCUUUCUUUUGAAAGUGUGUACAUAUUAAAAAGAAUUAAUCAGA